GGCAGGGGAGCCGCGCUGGCCAGGGCCGGCGGGGAAGCACCGCCGGCGUGACGAUAAGCGAAAAUACACUUAAAAGCGAGAGGCGGAGGUCGCGGCGGGGGUGUCGUCGUUAUGCGAGGGCUGCGCCCUAGGGGAAAGGGGUGUUUAACUCUCUUUUUUUUUUUUUCGGUCUUUUUUGGAGCACGCCAUGCCCUGUUGUCCAAACCAGGCUGUGUCUGCGCCGCUUAGAGCCAGGCGAGGCACACGGGUUCCCAAAGGGUUUGGUAGAUCAGGCCGCAGGAGCAUCAGGAUUGCCUGUUCUGCAGGUACAGGAAGGAUCCUGUGAUGCUUAUUUUACACGAGAGUGGGAGAUUUUCAUGGUGCCCUCAUUCACGAUUCCCCCCUGUACUGCUCUGAAACGUCAGACUAUCUCCAGGACAACAGAGAGGCUAUAUUGCAGGCCACUUGAUCAUUCAUUACCUACCUCCAUGGAAGUUGCUAAAUAAUGGCUGGUGUUUCACUAGAGCAGUUGGCAUCUUUCCUCACUGAGUACACAAAACCUCAGUUUUUCAGAGGUAACUUCCUGAACUGGACACUUGGGUGUUGAAAUUCUUUGUGUAAGGCUGCUGUUUGAAGUUCUUCAUUUUUUAAGUUUGCAAAGAGGAAAAUUAUCAGUUUUUCCUGUGAAGUAAAAAAAAAAAAAAAGUAGAGGAACGUCUCCUAUUAUUAAAAAAAAAAAAAAAACUUUCCUUGAGAUGGCCUGCUGCUAAAACUGGCAAGGUUAAAAACGAAUAUGUCAUAGGCCUAGCCUUCCACCUCUGCUUUUCUGGAAUCUGGAUUUCAUUUGUGUAAGUUCAGAGCCUGGAAAGUCACUUACUGAGUGCACACAUGCAGUAUUUUUAAACUUGUAAAGUUUACAGCUUGGUGUAAUGUUAUCCCAGAAGGAUCCCACCACAUGUUUGUUUGCCUAGACAAGCUAUGAGGUGAAAUAUAUAGCUAUGGCCCCAGUAAGAUGCACAAAAUUGGAAUGCAGAGUUCUCCGUUGCCUUGUGUGAACGUGGUCUUAUCUAAAGCUUUCUCAUCUGUAAUGGGCAAUCAACUGUGAAGCACUUGGAACUUAUGAAAUAUAAACGAGUUUCUGUGCAGGCAUUUUUUAGAUCCAUAAAUAGAUGCCAUCAUGUCGCCUAGCAAGGGUACGUGAUACAGCAGGAAAACACACAGAAACCCUGUAAAUGCUGUCAGAGGAGAGAAUGUGAAAGUUUAGUACUCUAAGGUAUCCAAAAUUCUCUUAGUACUACAGGAAUAGUAGUAAAAAUAAAGCCCUGAAUUGAUUUAACUGUAUUUGCCA
RNAcentral lists this long non-coding RNA (1327 nucleotides) under Struthio camelus australis. RNAcentral describes it as "lncRNA (ENSSCUG00000015243.1)". Lineage: Eukaryota; Metazoa; Chordata; Aves; Struthioniformes; Struthionidae. The record is from RNAcentral.